GUCCUCGCUUCAGUAGAACAUAUAUUAAAAUGGGAAUGAUACAGAAAGGAUUAGCAUGGCCCCUGUGCAAGCAUGACAUGCAAAUUCAUGAAGCGUUCCACAUUUUU
RNAcentral lists this small nuclear RNA (107 nucleotides) under Catagonus wagneri (Chacoan peccary). Lineage: Eukaryota; Metazoa; Chordata; Mammalia; Artiodactyla; Tayassuidae. The record is from RNAcentral.